GAGUUUGAUCGUGGCUCAAGAUGAACGCUAGCGGCAGGCUUAAUACAUGCAAGUCGAGGGGCAGCAGGUCUGUAGCAAUACAGAUGCUGGCGACCGGCAAACGGGUGCGGAACACGUACUGAACCUUCCUUUAAGUGGGGAAUAGCCCAGGGAAACUUGGAUUAAUACCCCGUAACAUAAUGAAGUGGCAUCACUUUAUUAUUAUAGCUCCGGCGCUUGAAGAUGGCAGUGCGGCUGAUUAGGUAGUUGGCGGGGUAACGGCCCACCAAGCCUACGAUCAGUAACUGGUGUGAGAGCACGACCAGUCACACGGGCACUGAGACACGGCCCAGACUCCUACGGGAGGCAGCAGUGGGGAAUAUUGGACAAUGGGCGAAAGCCUGAUCCAGCAAUGCCGCGUGAGUGAUGAAGGCCCUAGGGUUGUAAAGCUCUUUUACCAGGGAUGAUAAUGACAGUACCUGGAGAAUAAGCUCCGGCUAACUCCGUGCCAGCCGCCGCCGU
This 501-nucleotide ribosomal RNA is filed under the name uncultured Sphingobacterium sp. RNAcentral's name for it is "bacterial SSU rRNA". It matches the Rfam family "Bacterial small subunit ribosomal RNA", at positions 9 to 521 of the family's 1533-position model. The record is from RNAcentral. Lineage: Bacteria; Pseudomonadati; Bacteroidota; Sphingobacteriia; Sphingobacteriales; Sphingobacteriaceae.